CUGAGCCGUGCUCCUGCGUACGCAGGAGCCUAGGGCCACGAACGUCGUGCCUGUGACUCUGGGCUCCUGCGUGCGCAGGAGCGCGCUCAUC
RNAcentral lists this microRNA precursor (91 nucleotides) under Sphingomonas sp. BK580. RNAcentral's name for it is "microRNA MIR1846". The record is from RNAcentral. Lineage: Bacteria; Pseudomonadati; Pseudomonadota; Alphaproteobacteria; Sphingomonadales; Sphingomonadaceae.